GGGUCCGGACACACUGAGGAUUGACAGGCAAUUAUUGCUAACAGUUUCUUUUUUUAAAAGUACUGUUGCAACAACAAAUAUGCUAGUCCUUUCAUGAUUAUGUGAUAGGUGGUGCAUGGCCGUUCUUAGUUCGUGGAGUGAUCUGUCUGCUUAAUUGCGUUUCAUUAUGGACCAUGUUAUAACAUGUACUAUCUCUUGAUUUUCAAAUUUUCAUUUAUUUGAGAUUUGUUAUAAAGAAGGAGUUUUGGUGCAAUUGGUCCUGAAAGCAACGAACGUGACCGCAUCCUCUUGUUGCCUUUUUAACUUGGCAUUUUUUUUAAUUUAUUUUAACAUUUUUGUCAUAACAUAAGAGGCUUUCAGAAAACUAGAGGGACCGCUGCGACUUUUUUAAACCAGAGGAAGGUUGCGGCAAUAACAGGUCUGUGAUGCCCUUAGAUGUUCCGGGCUGCACACGUGCUACAAUGAUUAUUGCAGUGAGCAUCUCAUUUUAUUUUUUGUGCUUGUCUUGUCUGCGAGUUUAUUCUCAACGACGACAGCCUUAGCCUGCUUCGAAAGUUCGCAGGU
This 564-nucleotide ribosomal RNA is filed under the name Leptammina flavofusca. RNAcentral's name for it is "partial 18S ribosomal RNA". The stretch from base 1 to 460 matches the Rfam family "Eukaryotic small subunit ribosomal RNA", at positions 1220 to 1501 of the family's 1831-position model. The record is from RNAcentral. Lineage: Eukaryota; Foraminifera; Astrorhizida; Saccamminidae.